GGACGAACGCUGGCGGCGUGCCUAACACAUGCAAGUCGAGCGAGGAGAUCCUCGGGAUGAUCCUAGCGGCGGACGGGUGAGUAACACGUGGGCAACCUGCCUCAUAGAGAGGAAUAGCCUUCCGAAAGGGAGAUUAAUACCUCAUAACAUUGCAGUUUCGCAUGGAACAGCAAUUAAAGGAGUAAUCCGCUAUGAGAUGGGCCCGCGGCGCAUUAGCUAGUUGGUGAGGUAACGGCUCACCAAGGCGACGAUGCGUAGCCGACCUGAGAGGGUGAUCGGCCACAUUGGGACUGAGACACGGCCCAGACUCCUACGGGAGGCAGCAGUGGGGAAUAUUGCACAAUGGGGGAAACCCUGAUGCAGCCAACGCCGCGUGAGUGAUGACGGCCUUCGGGUUGUAAAGCUCUGUCUUCAGGGACGAUAAUGACGGUACCUGAGGAGGAAGCCACGGCUAACUACGUGCCAGCAGCAGC
Molecule: ribosomal RNA, 473 nt
Filed under: uncultured bacterium
Lineage: Bacteria
Description: bacterial SSU rRNA
Rfam family: Bacterial small subunit ribosomal RNA
Source: RNAcentral